Molecule: ribosomal RNA, 252 nt
Filed under: uncultured Bacteroidales bacterium
Lineage: Bacteria; Pseudomonadati; Bacteroidota; Bacteroidia; Bacteroidales
Description: partial 16S ribosomal RNA
Rfam family: Bacterial small subunit ribosomal RNA
Source: RNAcentral
UACGGAGGAUGCGAGCGUUAUCCGGAUUUAUUGGGUUUAAAGGGUGCGCAGGCGGAAUGUCAAGUCAGCGGUAAAAUUUCGGGGCUCAACCCCGUCGUGCCGUUGAAACUGGAAGACUUGAGUGUGUUUGAGGUAGGCGGAAUGCGUGGUGUAGCGGUGAAAUGCAUAGAUAUCACGCAGAACUCCGAUUGCGAAGGCAGCUUACUAAGCCAUAACUGACACUGAAGCACGAAAGCGUGGGGAUCAAACAGG